ACAAUUCUAUUUCGCUUUCUCAAUAGUUUUUUCAGCCUUCUUCGUAUUUUCACCUGGCUGUUACAAUUUUGCCAGCUCUUCUUCUUUUUACUUAUUCUUUUGGAGGGCUUCGUUUUCAUAUCCGAUUUGAAUAUUUAGGAUUAGAGACUAAAUUGUGAGGGAAAAUUUAGAGCCAAAGGCACAAUGAAUUCUAAAGGUAUUGUUGAAGGGAGGGUUUGUCUCUUCUCUAUCGACCUUCAUCACUGACGAUGAUUAACUUCUGACCACAAUAGAAUGAAUUUGAAUUUAGUGAAGGCUAUUAUAUAAUUUCAUGUACCUUUGGCUCUUUAUUAACUUGUUUUGCAGAUGCAUGUAGUCAUUGACUAAUUUGAUUCAAUUCCAUAACUGUCAAUUGUUAAGAAAUCAACGAAAAUGGAGAAAAGCUCUGUCUACAAAAUUUUCAAAGGUCAGUAAUGAACUUAUGUUUUGCCAAUUAUUUUAUUUACCUUUUAGCUUACUUGUGUUUUAAUCGGAAUUGGCAAAAAUGAGUUAUUUUAGCUCUUUCUAAAGGCGCAGUUUGUCUAAUUUUGAAAAGUUAACUAAAACAAGAAAUAAUUAGGCUUGCACUACGGGCAAUGAUAUUGAUAAAUCAUUAUCUGCAUAUUUUUUUGAUGAACUUGUAAGCAAAUAUGUUUGGAUAGUUCAAUGAAUGGCCAGCAAAAGCCAUUUUGCUUUACUGAUAAAUGAUAGUUGUGAUUUCAGUACUAAAAAGUUGUAAACUAGGUUUGUGGUAAUAGAAUAUAAGUCUUUUCUUGCUAGAAAAUAAUGUAUUUAUAUCAAUGAAUUACUUUUGGUUUGCAAUUCAACAAAUUUAUUUAAUGUUUAGAUUGGUUGACAUCACACACUUUUAAACUCUUUGCAAAUUACAAUGCAUGAUGCUCUAAAUUUCUUUCUUGAUAAAGAAGUAUUUGGAAUCCUAAGGCCUCUUCAAUGGACUAAGAGGUACAAUUGAAGCUCUGAGAUUUUCUUCAAAUACAAUGUUCAACCACUUGAGGAAGGAGGGCGCAGAUCUGUAAAGCUUGAAGGAUAACAAACUGCUUGUCCUCAAUCUUCAAAGCGCCAACACCUUGGAAAGCUGUUUUUUAAGUCUUAGUAGCUGAAUAUAAGCAUCCUGAUUGGAGUUUUCGAGAAAAGUUCCUAGCUUAAUUUAUCAGUUGUGAUAACGUAUGCUUAUUUUUCAUUUUUAUUUCCAUUCGUUCGUUAUACUUGAUUAAUUUGUUUUUAUUUUUCACUUUUCUAUCUUAUUCUUUUGUUAAUAUUACUAAAUGUGAACCAUUACUCUAGGUUUCAUAUGAUGUCAAUUGUCAUCUUGAAACUGUUUAUGCUACACUUCUUUGAUGACAGAAACGUGGAAGCACAAAAAGUUCAUGUUCCAACUUUGGAGUUCUCAUCGUAGCAGAGAAUAUCCUAAGAAGGUAUGUUGGCUAUCAGUGCAAUCUGCAAUAAUCUGUUGUUGUUAUAUUUUGGCGGGAAACUUUGUCAGUAAAUCAAUAAAUAAUGUUUGAACAUAUUUAGAAUCUUCCUUAACAGAUUCCAACUCUUUGCCACAAAUUCCUAUCAGGUUGCAAACUAUUUCUAGUGACGUACCGUAAGAAUCAAAUGCUCAAAUGAUAUGUUAAAUUAGGUUGUGCCUGCUUGCCGGUUCUGUUUCUCAAGCCAUGAACAUUUUUAUUCAAAGAUAUGGAUAUCCCCUAAUUGUUCAAUAAGUGUACUGCUUUAGUUCCACUUUAGAGAUAAAUAUGGUGCCAAGUAAAGACGAAAUAUAAAGCAUAAAUGAUUUAAAAAGUGGAACAAAAAAUACUAUAUACAUCCAAAAAGGAAUAUUGAGAGAAGGAAUAAGAGAAUUUGAUGAUGGUUAGCAUAUACAGGAGGUGCAACUGAUCCGUGGAAGUUUAAUACAAAGUUCUCCAGUUUGAAUUAAAGGAUAUUUACAAACAAUCUAUUUUGGCUAAAGCUCUAUAUGAGUUAUCUCAGUUAAUGUUACACUUUCUUUUCUUCUUCUAAUAAGUCCAAUUUUACCAAAUUUAGCCAUUUAGUGAGCGAUAUAUUUACGAAUACUUGUGGUUAAAUUAUCUAACCCCCCAUGUAGACCACUAGGAAUUGGGUCGUAACAUAUUCUUACGAAUGACAUGACGAAUAAUAAUAAUAACUUAACUUUUUUAUACUCACUCAGUGACUCAUAAAAAAUUAUCUCUGAUAUCUGUUAUUCAAGGAAAAUGUACCAGUAGUCACUCUUCGCAUCAAAGGACUUCUUCUUAGAAUUAGAUCUCUGUUGUUUUGCAUCUUUUAAGUUCUUAAAAUUUGAGUUAAUGUGUUGAGUUGACUAAGUAGUUUAAGAUUACUCUUUCUUUAUGUUAUCACUUCUAUAAAAUAGGGAGAGUACAUGAUUAUUACCAGGAUUUUUUUGGAAUUUGCAUUGGUUCUUACAAAAACAUUUGACUCCUUCAAAUGAGGCUAAACUGAAAACAAGUUGAUAACUUGGUUUUCUAUCUUACUUGGAGAGAGUUUGAAAAGGAAAUGAAGCUGGUGUGAGUUAAAUUCUUCCAAUCGUUCCACUGUUCAAUUUUAGGGAGAUAAUGAUGCCUCAAGUUGACAUAUAUGGAUGUGGACCAAGUUUCAAUUAAUGUGUGCAUGCAAAUUCAUGAUUUCAUGACCAAAUGACAAUCAAAUUAUUCUCCUGAAUGGUUUAUGUGGCCUCUGUACAUUUUGAUACACAGUUGGUCAUCUUUUCUUUUGACUAUACUUCUAAGUAAUUUUGUGUAUAAAUUUUGCUAUAAUGUAAGAGUGAAUACAUGCUAUAUUGUGGUUUGGUAUGUUUUAUAUGUGAUAGUUCUAUUAGUCAACGUGAUAAGUUACUACUUAGAGUGCAUUAUGUAUCAUGAAAUGUCCGACAUAAAUCUAAGAAGGUAAGAUAUAUUGUCCUUUGUUCGAGGAUCUUCAGUUGGAAUCAAUUUGUAAGCACAACUUCUCUGCAACAUUUGUUGCAAAAUGAUUGAUAGAGAUAGAGCAGUUUUUUUGCAGAUGAAUGAGAUCAUAUUUUCGAGAGAAAGAGUCAGAAAGAAGAAUUAUACAUUUACCUUUAUGCAUCUUAAAAUUAUACAAUUUAAUUUGGAGAACUUCAAUUGCCACUUCAUCAAUAUUUUUAAUUUUUUUUAAUUUUUUAUGUUCUUGUUUGCUCACGGUAUCUCUUUCAUGGAUUUUAGCUUGCAUAUUUUCUCUUAAGUUGUCGUGAAGGAUGGAUUGGUCUUUCGUUGUUACGGGCAUUCAGAGAAUAGAGGUAACAAAGUAGAGAAGAAAUGAAUUUGAUUUCACCUGCAUGACCGUCAAGAUCCUCAAGCCUAAACUUUGAGCAAGUUCAUUCCUAAUUUGCUUCUAUAUAUGAUAUUUUCAAUGGUUAUUUGAGUACAUUGUGUAUCUAAUGUAUCAUAUGGUAACCAUAUAUCUAUGAGUAAAUAUUUUGUUCCACACAUGUAUCUAAAUAAUAUCCAGCCAUAUUAUCAAUAUCUGAUUUAAUACUCCUUUACAUGCAUCUAUUUCGCUUUCUCCUAUUUCAUUUCAAUACAAAGUUAUACAAUGUUGUCUUUAUCUACUUUGGUUGUUAUUUAUGUGCAUCUAUUUUCUUCUUUGUCAAAGUGAUGUUAAUGAAAAAUAACAAUUCCCACUUUUACAGUAUUGGGCCAGUGCUGGCACGGGCUAGCACCACCUAGUUUAGUAUGCAUAACUCGGGAGAUAGUGCAUAUUUAGGUAAUUGUUGAACAACACCACUCCCAGAGCAUAUGAGUGAUCAAUAACUGAGGGUUUAAAGGUGGGAUUAGGGAUGAGAAGCCUUGGUGCAAUCUGAAGUGAGCUAUAUUAAAGGCCAGCUAGCGUAGCUCGGGAGAGUGCAUGUAGUAAAUUGUCGUGAUUACUCGGGAAAGAUUUACGGUAAUAAGAGUGCUCAUGAUCGGUAGAGAAUACUUAGGCGAAAUUAAAGAAGACACAGCGGCAAGGAUUCCGACAAUUGGGGAAAUCAUAACUCUAGAUCUCCUUAAUCUUGUUUCCAACCCUUAGUACAUUUAGUUGUUAAUUUAGUAUUUUAAUUUGUUAGUUGAUUAGUUAAACACAAGAAUCUAAAUAUCUAUAAGUUAGGAAUUGUUCAAGCUUAGUGAUAGUGAACAGUUGUAGCUAAAUCUUAGUUCUCCGUGGGAUUUGACUCCGGACUCGUAAACCGAAUUAUAUUUGCAACGACCGCAUUGUCCUUUUAUAAGGCAUAAUUGGGCGGAAUCAUUGAGCAUAAUCAUUUAUUUGGUAUCUUUAAUAGUCUUUCUUUUACAUUUAAUCUGCUAACAGAAAAAAAUAUGCAAGACAUUGAAUUUUAAAUUACUUUGCCUUUUCCCUCUCAAGGCUAAAUUAUUCCUCCUUUAUUUUCCACUUAAAAGUGUGAUAAUGUCACUUGUCUGAAAUACAAGUGUCAUAAUGUCCCUCUCAAGACAUUAUCGAGUUUAAUUACAACAAAGUAGUUUAAACUUCUGAAUGAAGUCAGAUAUAUGCUUGCUUAUCUCAUCUCGUCUUUCUUGGUUAACAAAGCGAGCUGCACCUUUUAACACCACCACUUCCUCCAACAAUGGAACAUCUUUCUUAAACUCAACAUUGUGUAUGUAAUCUUUAGCACCUGGAAUAUGAUAAACCAAGUCUAAUUCUCCGACGAUGAACUCUCCUGUCCAGGGUGUUGUGCAUUCGCAGUUUCUGUAUUUCAUCAUAGGACAGAGAACUUUAGUGUUUGAUUCAGUUUUAAUGAUGCAAAUAAUAUACAUAUGCAGGAAAUUAAUUACAAGAAAUCAAUAAGAUACUACAAGAUUGUUGGAGUCAAUCUUGAUGCCUAAGGAAAGAAAUCAAUCAGCAAAGAUUACAAUCCAAUCAGCAAAUCUGGAUAACUAAGGAUAGAACUCAACUAGCAAAUCAAUCAGUAAAGUGUAACGGCCAGCUGCGAUGGAGAGAAUCAAGCAAGCCAAAACUUAAGGCAUGAAUCAAGGCCAGCAUCCCGGAAGAUUGAAGAUCCUGUAAAGAUUUGAUACACGACUAAUUUCGGAAGAAUCAACAAUCAAGGAGCAAGUCUUCAUUUUAUACAUCUCUUGAAAGAAGGAAAUCAAGAAAAAGCAACGGCUAGCUAUCUUAUUCUUGGAAAGAAUCAAUCUCUUUCCAAGGAAAUCCUUGGGUCAAGCCUCGACCUUCAUGAAAGUAUUUAUACUCAGCCUUAAACUUUAGUCAGAUAUACUUUGAUCUAACCGAAAAUUCCUCUCUUUGUUUACUGCAAACAAACAUUGUAGUUCACUAAGAUCUACUGUGUAACAAGUCAGCGAAUAAAAAAGAGGGUAUAACAUAGUGAGACAUUGUAUAAAAAGAAACGAGUGCUAGAGAAACUGUGUUGUCAAUUCACUUCAACUGUACUCGGA
Molecule: long non-coding RNA, 5471 nt
Filed under: Nicotiana benthamiana
Lineage: Eukaryota; Viridiplantae; Streptophyta; Magnoliopsida; Solanales; Solanaceae
Description: long non-coding RNA (NBEN_LNC007621)
Source: RNAcentral